UGCAUACUGGGAAGCCCAGGGCUUGGAGGCGGCGGCAGGAGAGAGCGGCGCGGCCAUUUUGUCUUCCUCCGAGAGGCCGCUGGAAGGCCUGCGGCUGGUGCCUGCUUCUCGCCUUUCUCUAGUUCGGUAGCGCCACCGCGAUGGGCCGGAAGAAGAAGAAGCAGCUGAAGCCCUGGUGCUGGUAUUGCAACAGGGAUUUUGAUGAUGAGAAAAUCCUUAUACAGCAUCAAAAAGCAAAGCACUUUAAAUGCCAUAUAUGUCAUAAGAAACUGUAUACAGGACCCGGUUUAGCUAUACAUUGUAUGCAGGUGCAUAAAGAAACAAUAGAUGCUGUUCCAAAUGCUAUUCCUGGAAGAACAGAUAUUGAACUGGAAAUCUAUGGUAUGGAGGGCAUUCCAGAAAAAGACAUGGAUGAAAGGAGAAGAUUACUUGAACAAAAAACUCAGGCAGAGAGCCAGAAGAAGAAACAACAAGAUGAUUCUGAUGAGUAUGAUGAUGAUGAAUCUACAGCUUCAACCUCAUUUCAACCACAACCAGUACAACCACAACAGGGAUACAUGCCCCCAAUGGCACAACCAGGAUUGCCUCCUGUGCCAGGUGCACCAGGAAUACCCCCAGGUAUACCACCCUUGAUGGCAGGUGUUCCACCAAUGAUGCCAGGAAUGCCUCCAGUUAUGCCAGGAAUGCCACCUGGAUUACAUCAACAGAGAAAGUACAUGCAGUCAUUUUGCGGUGAAAACAUGAUGAUGCCAAUGGGUGGGAUGAUGCCUCCUGGGCCAGGAAUACCACCUCUUAUGCCUGGUAUGCCACCAGGUAGGUCAGUGAUGUCGAACUCGUACUGUGGUAUGCCACCACCUGUUGGUCCUCGCCCUGGUAUGCCUCCCAUGACACAAGCACAGCCUGUGACAGCACCAGGCAUUCUUAAUAGACCUCCAGCUCCUGCUGUAGCAGCACCCUCCCCACAGCCUCCAGUUACGAAACCACUUUUCCCCAGUGCAGGACAGAUGGGGACACCUGUCACAAGUUCAAGUACAGCUUCAUCCAAUUCAGAAAAUCUGUCAGCAUCUUCUAAAGCUCUGUUUCCUAGCACAGCACAAGCUCAGGCAGCUGUUCCAGGACCAGUGGGUACUGAUUUCAAACCUUUGAAUAAUACACCUGCAACAACCACAGAGCCCCCCAAACCUACAUUCCCUGCUUAUACACAGUCUACAGCUUCAACCACUAGCACAACAAACAGUACUGCAGCUAAACCAGCUACGUCUAUAACAAGUAAGCCUGCUACCCUUACAACAACCAGUGCAACCAGUAAGUUGAUCCAUCCCGAUGAGGAUAUAUCACUGGAAGAGAGAAGGGCACAGUUGCCCAAAUAUCAACGUAAUCUUCCUCGACAAGGACAGGUAUCAAUGGGCAAUCCAUCAGUUGGAUCACUUGGAGGUAUGAUGCCACCACAACCUGGAAUUCCUCCUCAGCAGCAGGGAAUGAGACCUCCCAUGCCUCCUCAUGGUCAGUAUGGUGCUCAUCACCAAGGCAUGCCAGGAUACCUUCCUGGAGGGAUGCCUCCAUAUGGUCAGGGACCUCCAAUGGUGCCCCCUUACCAAGGUGGACCUCCUCGACCUCCAAUGGGAAUGAGACCUCCUGUAAUGUCGCAAGGUGGCCGCUACUGAUGCUACUACACACAGUCUAAUAGGUUUUUAGAAGUGAAGUAUAGUAAAUAUGGUUCGUUAAAUUGUGAAGGCGCUGGAAUUACAUGAACAUACCAUCUUAAAGCUGUGGACAACUGCCUGCAAGGUUUGUACAGAUGCAUGCCACAGUAGUUAUUGGUGUAAUAAACGCAUAUUUACUGCUGCUGUUUUGAUAUACUCUAAUUCUUGUUUGAACUUUGUCACUUAGCUGCAUGUUGUAGUCUCCUAAGCAAGUAGACAUAGACCUGUACACUUAUUAACUAACUUAAAAAAAAAUGAUUAAUAGGAAUGAGAUUACGGGUUACAUCUCACCUAUCGUUUAUAAUUUGUUUAAAAUGGUGCAGGUUUCUUUAAUAGGCCUUUCCUCUUGUCCGCAAUAAAUCUUAGAUGACUUGUAACAUUGGCACUUUCACAUGUUAGCAAGAUGUAAUUGUGACCCCUGGCUGAUGUAAAUCAGAGUGCCAGAUGCAUCCUGUUAGUUCUUUCUUCAGAUAACUUUCUUGGAUGUGUGACUGCAUCAAUGCAUGAACCUCAGGAGCCAUUCAGGAGAAAACUUCUAGAAGCUUAGGUGCAUGACACACAGUGAGUGACUUUCUUGCUGCUGUAUUGAAAGUGACCUGCAAAAAGGAAAAAUAGGCCGUUGCCCUUGUUUUGCCUCUAUGAUGUGCAAAGGCGGCUCACAAGUAUGAGAUUUUGUUUUUUGCUUUUACCAUAAAUAUCAGGAAUUUCAAAUCUGAUUGUCUCUGGGUGGUGCUGCUGGUUGGACACAAGAUGACUCGUGGAUUGAGAAUUUUCUCAUCCCUUUAAGUGCCUGGGGUGUUGAACCUCUGAGGCUCUUCUCCCAAGUGUCUUAAUUACUUAGUUAACAAAUCAGAAUUUUGAAUCUGAAUUAGUCUCUUACCCUCUUACUCAGAUUAAUUUCCUUGUUAUGACCUAUAUCUUGUUGCUUUAGUUGACUAGUCUUCCAGUGUUGGAGAGCUAAGUUUCUAAUGGAAAAAUACAAACAUGGGGAGAACACUUUUUGUGAUGGGAGGGCUUCCAGGUGUUUUAAACAUCAAGAAGCAGAAAAUGGCAAAUGUUGCUUUCCUUUGCAGGUCAACUUUAAAUACAAGGUCCAGCCACAAAUUAUAUUUUAUCUGUGCCACUUGUGUUGUGGUGAUACUCAUUUCCCUUGUUUUUCCAUCGCAGAGGCUGACAAGCUUUACCACUAGUUUGGUCAUCAGUGUAGUAGGUUUUCCUGUUUUUUUUUUUUCUGGAACUAAGCAUUGUGGCUUAGUCUUAUUUUUGGAAGAGAGAUCUUUGGUUUUUUACAGCUAUGGUUUGUACCAGGAACUUGACAUUCCUUUACUUUCAUGCUCCAUCUUUUCAGUCUGCAAAUCUUUAAAUUAAAGAUAUUCAGAACAUUAUGCUGUCUUCCAGUAGAGUAUGUGGCCCCAUGGAACUCAUUAUAUAGUGUCUCAGGUUCUUUGGCAUCUUAAUUUCUAGUUAUAUGGCCUUGGUUUAACAACUUAGAAAUUUAUCUGGCAAAUCUCCAGAAACUUGUAUUAAUCUUAAGCAAGAUCCAUAGCUCUCCGGAUGUCAUAAAGAAGCAUUUUUCUAGGCACUAGAUACCAUUUACCUGCUGGCCAUCUGUCAGCUAACAUGUAGAAUAAAUAAGCAGACUCAUUCAGUAAUUUGCUUGGAAAUGCAUUAUGAACGGGCCUUGAGUUUUCAGGUUCUCUUCCCCCCCCCACCCAAGUCCUUCACCCUUUUCCAUUUCUCUGCAAUCGUAAUUUAAUAUGUCCAUUCUUGUACUCCAGAUGGAAGCUGGUUGUCUUCUGUAUUUCUUCUGAUCCCAAGGAUAAUUCAAAAAAUAAACAUUAAAGCUAUCAUAA
This is a non-coding RNA of Chrysemys picta bellii (western painted turtle), 3556 nucleotides long. NCBI's taxonomy places the organism in Eukaryota, Metazoa, Chordata, Testudines, Emydidae. The record is from RefSeq and is a predicted model, not a curated record.